GAAUCAGUAAUGUGGGCAUAGUGUAGUCUC
This 30-nucleotide non-coding RNA is filed under the name Rattus norvegicus (Norway rat). The record is from RNAcentral. Lineage: Eukaryota; Metazoa; Chordata; Mammalia; Rodentia; Muridae.